RNAcentral lists this ribosomal RNA (406 nucleotides) under uncultured bacterium. RNAcentral describes it as "partial 16S ribosomal RNA". It matches the Rfam family "Bacterial small subunit ribosomal RNA", at positions 28 to 526 of the family's 1533-position model. The record is from RNAcentral.
GACGAACGCUGGCGGCGUGCUUAACACAUGCAAGUAGAACGAGUGGCGAACGGGUGAGUAAUACGUGAGUAACCUGCCCUCUUUAUGGGAUAAGCAUUGGAAACGGGGUCUAAUACCGGAUAAAGGGGGAUGGGCUCGCGGCCUAUCAGCUUGUUGGAGGGGUGUUGGCCUACCAAGGCGGUGACGGGUGGCCGGACGGAGAGUGUGACCGUCCCCAGUGGGACUGUGAUCCUGCCCAGCGUCAGACGGGGGGCAGCAGUGGGGGCUAUUGCACAAUGUGCGAAAUCCUGCUGCAGCGACGCCGCUUGGGGGAUGCAGGCUUUCGGGUUGGAAAGCUCUUUCGCUCUCUAACGGGUAGGUGUCGAAGACGCGCCGGCUAACUACGUGCCAGCAGCCGCGGUAAUUC